RNAcentral lists this long non-coding RNA (1417 nucleotides) under Macaca fascicularis (crab-eating macaque). RNAcentral's name for it is "lncRNA (ENSMFAG00000058477.1)". Lineage: Eukaryota; Metazoa; Chordata; Mammalia; Primates; Cercopithecidae. The record is from RNAcentral.
UUUUUUUUUUUUUUUUUUCUAGGUGAAGACAUUGUCUCUAAGAGUUCCCAUUAAAAAGCAAAUGAUACCUGUUAGUUUCCAUUAUGACAUUAGCAUGAAUUAAACUAAAGGGUUGUAAGAAACUGACAAACGGUAUCAUACCAGUGAAAUGUCUUAGUGAAAGGCCACCUCUCAGCUGCGGGGCCUCAGAGAGGCAAGUUACCAUCUUGAGAGAAUGCAAUUUGUUAGGCUAUUUCAACCUGGGGAGUUGCAAAGAGAAAGUGGUUCUAAGUAACUUCCGGUUAUACCCUCAGCACAGAGUUGGGAACUAAGAUUUGGUCGCUCUUCUUCAUAAAACCCUUCCCAGGCUCCCUUUGUUUUCAGAUUGAGUCAUUCUCUUGCACUUUCCACAAGAAAUUCUUCAUGGCCUGUUCUCCAGCCUUGUUUCAUAUUUUGCUAACACACGUGGUCUUUCUAACCUACUUGAGCUUUUCUCAAUAUACCUUGGGCAUUGUCUUUAAACUGCUUGAGAAGUAUUCUGAGAAUAGUAAACAGAUGCAUAUGCAUGUGUACUUGCUACAUUUCCUAAACUACUAAAAAUCCAUGCAACAGAAUUUGAAUGCUGUAAGAUACAACUCUUUCACAUGUCAUUUGAAAUACAGCAAGACACCAAAUAGGCGACAAAGAGGCAGGUAGUAAUAAAAAUAACAUACUAUUAUUUUGUCUUUUAAAAAUAAAUCACAUAUGAAGAAAUAAAUGUAUUCCUAUAAAAUCUGGUAGAUUAUUUUAGGCCAUAUCCAGAGAGAAAUGGAAUGUGUUCAAUUAAAAAUGAUUGAGAAAUGUUGUUCUUUACUUUAAAAUAGCUGUCAAUUUAAUUAUUUAUAACUUUUAUUCUCCACUCAAGAUAAAAAGAUAAUUUUUAUGUAACUGGAUAGCUAUUAUAAAGCUAACGAGAUACCUUUGUCUUUCUUCUUGCUUUCAUAUUAAGCUCUAUAGACUAAGCGUCUGGCUAUAAAUAAAACUAUUGAUGUUAAAAGGUCAUGGCUAUGACCUUUCACAUGUUUCUUCUCCACUAUAUCUAUAUACACUGGAUACUUUACCCAGAGAAGAGAUUCUUUAUUUAAGAGAGCUUAAACUGUUCAAAUUUGUAAUGUACUAAGGAUUUUGGAAUGUCUAGGGGACUUAGUGGAUAAAAAACUGACCUUUCAUCUCUGAACCCAGACACAGUCCAACCUCAGAUAAAUGAAAAAGUUUUGUGUCAGUUGCUUCCAUGAUAAACUGGUACUCUCCAAUAUCUUCCACCCCAAUUAAGCAUUGCUGGCAGGUCUGGCCUCAAGAGGCACAUGGAGUAUAGAAAUGGAAUAACUUCUGCUCCGGGAGAGGGUGUCUGAACCUUCGAGACAGGAUUUUAAGGUUAUAAAUGGGCAGUGUUGGCCAA